RNAcentral lists this microRNA (23 nucleotides) under Blattella germanica (German cockroach). RNAcentral's name for it is "Bge-Mir-3770_3p* (star (passenger))". The record is from RNAcentral. Lineage: Eukaryota; Metazoa; Arthropoda; Insecta; Blattodea; Blattellidae.
CAACGCUUUGACAGCAGGAAUUU